Molecule: ribosomal RNA, 745 nt
Filed under: Leucoglossum leucosporum
Lineage: Eukaryota; Fungi; Ascomycota; Geoglossomycetes; Geoglossales; Geoglossaceae
Description: eukaryotic LSU rRNA
Rfam family: Eukaryotic large subunit ribosomal RNA
Source: RNAcentral
UCGCUGAACUUAAGCAUAUCAAUAAGCGGAGGAAAAGAAACCAACAGGGAUUGCCUCAGUAACGGCGAGUGAAGCGGCAACAGCUCAAAUUUGAAAUCUGGCUCCCUUUCAGGAGUCCGAGUUGUAAUUUGCAGAGGGUGCUUCUGAGUAUGGUCCUAGCCUAAGUUCCUUGGAACAGGAUGUCAUAGAGGGUGAGAAUCCCGUAUGUGGCUUGGAGGCCUGCUCAAUGUGAAGCCCCUUCGACGAGUCGAGUUGUUUGGGAAUGCAGCUCAAAAUGGGUGGUAAGUUUCAUCUAAAGCUAAAUACUGGCGGGAGACCGAUAGCGCACAAGUAGAGUGAUCGAAAGAUGAAAAGCACUUUGGAAAGAGAGUUAAAAAGUACGUGAAAUUGUUGAAAGGGAAGCGCUUGCAACCAGACUUGCCCUCAGUUGAUCAACCGGUGAUCUUCACCGGGGUAUGCUGCUAAGGGCAGGCCAGCAUCAGUUUGGGCGGUUGGAAAAAGACCAUGGGAAUGUGGCUCUCUUCGGGGAGUGUUAUAGCCUGUGGUGUCAUACAGCCAGCCUGGACUGAGGACCGCGCCUUUUGUGCUAGGAUGCUGGCGUAAUGGUUGUAAGCGACCCGUCUUGAAACACGGACCAAGGAGUCUAACAUCUAUGCAAGUGUUUGGGUGUCAAACCCAUGCGCGUAAUGAAAGUGAAUGGAGGUGGGAACCCUUAAGGGUGCACCAUCGACCGAUCCUGAUGUCU